RNAcentral lists this long non-coding RNA (441 nucleotides) under Brassica napus (rape). RNAcentral describes it as "long non-coding RNA (BNAP_LNC020520)". Lineage: Eukaryota; Viridiplantae; Streptophyta; Magnoliopsida; Brassicales; Brassicaceae. The record is from RNAcentral.
UGGGCUUAGAAGGUUGUUUCUGGUCUCAAUCUUAGGCUUUGGUUUCUCGGUUCUUGCCUCCCCUUCUCCCUCUCCUCAGGUUGUUUCUCUUCUUCAUCUCCUUCCCUUGGUAUAGGUGUGCGGAUCAGAGUUAAUCUUUUGGAGUUUUGGUCCCUUCUAUCCAGAGCUUUGUGGUUCUUUGAUGGCAUGCGCAACUUGUCUAUGUUUGUUUAGUUUGUGAGGUGUUUCUUACCUCUUAGCUGGCGGUUGUGCUUUCGGUAACUUAGGCAUGUGUCUUGCUGCUUCAUGGUGACUUUGAUAUUCCAGUGAUUAUUCUUCUUCUGACUUUUUUCUUGGUUCUUUCGUUGGUGCUUGAUCGCGAUGUUUUGUGUUUGGAGAUUGUUUUGUCUCAGAUUUUAUCUUUCUACCACUUUUUAACCUCUGUUUGUUGUGGUCAAGAUA